AUUGAACGCUGGCGGCAGGCCUAACACAUGCAAGUCGAGCGGCAGCACGGGUACUUGUACCUGGUGGCGAGCGGCGGACGGGUGAGUAAUGCCUAGGAAUCUGCCUGGUAGUGGGGGAUAACGUUCGGAAACGAACGCUAAUACCGCAUACGUCCUACGGGAGAAAGCAGGGGACCUUCGGGCCUUGCGCUAUCAGAUGAGCCUAGGUCGGAUUAGCUAGUUGGUGAGGUAAUGGCUCACCAAGGCGACGAUCCGUAACUGGUCUGAGAGGAUGAUCAGUCACACUGGAACUGAGACACGGUCCAGACUCCUACGGGAGGCAGCAGUGGGGAAUAUUGGACAAUGGGCGAAAGCCUGAUCCAGCCAUGCCGCGUGUGUGAAGAAGGUCUUCGGAUUGUAAAGCACUUUAAGUUGGGAGGAAGGGCAGUUACCUAAUACGUAAUUGUUUUGACGUUACCGACAGAAUAAGC
Molecule: ribosomal RNA, 470 nt
Filed under: Pseudomonas sp. LMG 20572
Lineage: Bacteria; Pseudomonadati; Pseudomonadota; Gammaproteobacteria; Pseudomonadales; Pseudomonadaceae
Description: bacterial SSU rRNA
Rfam family: Bacterial small subunit ribosomal RNA
Source: RNAcentral